This is a long non-coding RNA of Gossypium raimondii (Peruvian cotton), 353 nucleotides long. RefSeq lists it as uncharacterized. Lineage: Eukaryota; Viridiplantae; Streptophyta; Magnoliopsida; Malvales; Malvaceae. The transcript has 3 exons. The record is from RefSeq and is a predicted model, not a curated record.
GGGGAAGCCAUAGUUAGGGUUUUCAAGCUUCCAAGCUCCAUAAUCAAGAAGUACGAAACUCGAGGUUAGACAAAGGGAAGAAUAAAGUUGAAGACUAAGUUGGUGAAUUUGGCUAUAAUUGGUACCGAGUAUUGCAAAGCUACUUCAAGGAUCCUAAAGAAGUCGAAGAUCGUCCACACUAUCAACCACAACUGCUCGGUAUUUUAUAUCGAAUCACGUUUGAGUUAUGGCAUGUAUAGGGAUUUAGUUAUUUUGUAUGUUUGUGAUUAUGAUUUUGCUAAAGAAUGGUGUGUAAGUAUUUGAUGAUGUAUGGUUAUUAAAAUGGUUAAGUAUGAAGGUAUUUGUUGUUAUAA